AAUACCAUAUUUUAUAGUUUCCCAAUUUUGAACCACUGUUGCCUCUGUGUCUCUCGUUCUCUUCCUUCCUCGCCUCGCCUGAGACCCAAACCACGAAUUCCACCUCAGCCACCUUCCACUAAUCUUCGCCGAGAUUCGUGGAAGACCAGACCUCCGGUCAGGGAUCGACGAAGGAGUUCGUCUAAUCUACGGCAUGAUUAAUUUUCUAAGUUUAAUAUUUAAAAGGGGUUUAUUUUUUUUUCUACAUUAGCUUUUUUUUGUUGGUGGUGAUUAUGGCUUUCUUCAAUGAUCGGCCUAAGAAGAAGAAGCAGCUCCCACCAGUAAUUGUAUCGUAUUUGCAAAUUUUUCCAAGAUUAUCAUAGACACCGGCAAACUUGAUAUCACAGCUGCCAAAGCUUACUGUGAUAGCUUACUAAAGACCCUGCAAACUAGAGACCUAUUUGAGUGGAUUGAACUUGAACCAUUGCAGUUAUGGCAUUCCUUGCUUUUUAUGGAUUAGCAUAAUUAUGGUGGAAUCCCUACAAAAGCUGAUGAAGACAUGCAUGAAGAGUGUGAAGUUGAUAUUGUGUCAAGCUGGAAUAUUGUUGAAAAUUCACCAAAGAAAAUUCAGGUAAUUUGUCAAAUUUUUUUAUAAACUUGCAAUUGCUGUAAUGAGUAACAUUUUAAUCUCUGCUCAGUGGUUGGAGGAGUGUGCAUGUACACAGUUUGGUGAUAAGUGAAGAUUCAAUUUAUUAUGGCCCGAAAUCUGACAAAAAUAAUCUUUUUCAGCAUUAUUUUAUUUUCAUUGUUUCUUGUUAGUACUCUCUCUCUCUGUUUUUUACUUUUUUUCUUUGUUUAUUGUUUAUAUGGCUGGAGAAGAAAUAUACGACUCUUAUUGUUUAUUGUUUAUUGUUAUUCUUGAGGUUUCACAACCUCUCUCUAUUUCAAAGAUAGCAUGCUUUUUUUUCUUCUACCCCUUUGAUGUAAUACUAUGUUCUGUUUCUUGAAAAUAAAAUAAAAAAAGAAAAAAAAUUCAUGUGACAAAAUCGUGGUUAAGAACAUUGAAUAUUAGUGCUCCUGCUUUUUGUGCCAUUCUCUUCGUCCUCAUAUCAGUUUUUUCCGCAAAAACUUUCCUAACAUUUUGAGUGUCCUCCUUGGGCAAUUUUUGAUAUGGUCCAGCUGCUCUGAGUCGUGUUAUUUGAUUUUGCUCAUGUUAUUGUGGAACUGGUUUUGCUUUAAUUUAUGUAUCAGUAUUAGGUUCUAGGUGUGGUUGGGUCACCUCAUCAUUUUAUUGUGGAUCCAGUUCCAUUUAAUUUAUUUAUCAGUAUUUUUUGAACUGAUUUUUUCUUAUGUUUUAAUUAAGAACCGGUUUUUGAAUUAUUGUGUGUUAUUUUUUUUUACUUUUUUUUUUGUUGUGUAACCGGUUCUACUUUAUUUUAUGUCUCUGUAUUUUUAUUUUUGAACUAAUUCUCUCUUAUUUUUAAAUUAUAACCGGUGUUUGAGAUUGUGUAUUAUUUGUUUUUAGUUACUAUUUUUUUUUUUUGGAACUAAGCCUAUUUUAAUUUAUCUCAUCUAUUUUUUUAUUUAGUCAA
Molecule: long non-coding RNA, 1571 nt
Organism: Cannabis sativa
Lineage: Eukaryota; Viridiplantae; Streptophyta; Magnoliopsida; Rosales; Cannabaceae
Exons: 4
Source: RefSeq, a predicted model, not a curated record